RNAcentral lists this ribosomal RNA (253 nucleotides) under uncultured bacterium. Its description in RNAcentral is "partial 16S ribosomal RNA". It matches the Rfam family "Bacterial small subunit ribosomal RNA", at positions 524 to 776 of the family's 1533-position model. The record is from RNAcentral.
GACGAAGGGGGCUAGCGUUGUUCGGAAUUACUGGGCGUAAAGCGAGUGUAGGUGGUUGUCCAAGUUGGAUGUGAGAGCCUUGAGCUCAACUCAAGAAAUGCAUUCAGGACUGGGCGGCUAGAGGACCGGAGAGGAUAGUGGAAUUCCCAGUGUAGUGGUGAAAUACGUAGAGAUUGGGAAGAACACCAGUGGCGAAGGCGGCUAUCUGGACGGUUUCUGACACUAAGACUCGAAAGCGUGGGGAGCAAACAGG